GUUUGAUCCUGGCUCAGAGCGAACGCUGGCGGCGUGCUUAACACAUGCAAGUCGAACGAGGUUUGUAGCAAUACAAAUACUCGUGGCGAACGGGUGCGUAACACGUGGAUAACCUUCCUUCAGGUGGGGAAUAACCCAGUGAAAAUUGGGCUAAUACCGCAUAACAUGACGGGGGCACAUGCUCUUGUCUUCAAAGGCGCAAGUCGCCAGAAGAGGGAUCCGCGGCCGAUUAGCUUGUUGGCGAGGUAAUGGCUCACCAAGGCAUUGAUCGGUAGCCGGACUGAGAGGUUGGCCGGCCACACUGGAACUGAGACACGGUCCAGACUCCUACGGGAGGCAGCAGUGGGGAAUCUUGCACAAUGGACGAAAGUCUGAUGCAGCAACGCCGCGUGGGGGAUGAAGCUUUUCGGAGUGUAAACCCCUUUCGACCCGGACGAAUGCCCGCAAGGGCUUGACGGUACGGGUAUAAGAAGCCCCGGCUAACUACGUGCCAGCAGCCGCGGUAAUACGUAGGGGGCCAGCGUUGCUCGGAAUUACUGGGCGUAAAGGGUCCGUAGGCGGUGUGGCAAGUCGGGAGUGAAAUCUCUAGGCUUAACCUAGAGGCUGCUUUCGAAACUGCCGUGCUAGAGUGUGAGAGAGGCGAGUGGAAUUACGGGUGUAGCGGUGAAAUGCGUAGAUAUCCGUAGGAACAUCCGAGGCGAAAGCGGCUCGCUGGAUCACAACUGACGCUGAGGGACGAAAGCUAGGGGAGCAAACAGGAUUAGAUACCCUGGUAGUCCUAGCCCUAAACCAUCAGGACUUGGGGUUUGCCCUGUACGGGGCAAGUCCCGUAGCUAACGCGUUAAGUCCUGCGCCUGGGGAGUACGGUCGCAAGACUGAAACUCAAGGAAUUGACGGGGGCCCGCACAAGCGGUGGAACAUGUGGUUCAAUUCGACGCAACGCGAAGACCUUACCUGGGCUUGAACCGCACAGGACCAGCUUUGGAACAGAGCUUCCCGCAGGACUGUGUAGAGGUGCUGCAUGCUGUCGUCAGCUCGUGCCGUGAGGUGUUGGGUUAAGUCCCGCACGAGCGCAACCCUUUACCCCUAGUG
RNAcentral lists this ribosomal RNA (1092 nucleotides) under uncultured bacterium. Its description in RNAcentral is "bacterial SSU rRNA". It matches the Rfam family "Bacterial small subunit ribosomal RNA", at positions 11 to 1117 of the family's 1533-position model. The record is from RNAcentral.